CUACGUGCCAGCAGCCGCGGUAAUACGGAAGGUCCAGGCGUUAUCCGGAUUUAUUGGGUUUAAAGGGAGCGUAGGCUGGAGAUUAAGUGUGUUGUGAAAUGUAGACGCUCAACGUCUGAAUUGCAGCGCAUACUGGUUUCCUUGAGUACGCACAACGUUGGCGGAAUUCGUCGUGUAGCGGUGAAAUGCUUAGAUAUGACGAAGAACUCCGAUUGCGAAGGCAGCUGACGGGAGCGCAACUGACGCUUAAGCUCGAAGGUGCGGGUAUCAAACAGGAUUAGAUACCCUGGUAGUCCGCACAGUAAACGAUGGAUGCCCGCUGUUGGUACCUGAUAUCAGCGGCUAAGCGAAAGCAUUAAGCAUCCCACCUGGGGAGUACGCCGGCAACGGUGAAACUCAAAGGAAUUGACGGGGGCCCGCACAAGCGGAGGAACAUGUGGUUUAAUUCGAUGAUACGCGAGGAACCUUACCCGGGCUUGAAUUGCAGAGGAAGGAUUUAGAGAUA
RNAcentral lists this ribosomal RNA (505 nucleotides) under uncultured bacterium. RNAcentral describes it as "bacterial SSU rRNA". It matches the Rfam family "Bacterial small subunit ribosomal RNA", at positions 501 to 1008 of the family's 1533-position model. The record is from RNAcentral.